This 224-nucleotide unclassified non-coding RNA is filed under the name uncultured Gammaproteobacteria bacterium. Its description in RNAcentral is "contains 16S-23S intergenic spacer region". The record is from RNAcentral. Lineage: Bacteria; Pseudomonadati; Pseudomonadota; Gammaproteobacteria.
UCCGGUUUGUCACCGGCAGUCUCAUUAGAGUGCCCAACUGAAUGUAGCAACUAAUGACAAGGGUUGCGCUCGUUGCGGGACUUAACCCAACAUCUCACGACACGAGCUGACGACAGCCAUGCAGCACCUGUGUUCCCGUUCCCUUUCGGGCACAGCCCCCUUUCAGGGGCCUCCAGGACAUGUCAAGGGUAGGUAAGGUGGGGAUGACGUAUAGGAACACCAAC